Molecule: ribosomal RNA, 465 nt
Filed under: uncultured bacterium
Lineage: Bacteria
Description: partial 16S ribosomal RNA
Rfam family: Bacterial small subunit ribosomal RNA
Source: RNAcentral
GACGAACGCUGGCGGCGUGCUUAACACAUGCAAGUCGAACGGAAAGGCCCUGCUUGCAGGGUACUCGAGUGGCGAACGGGUGAGUAACACGUGGGUGAUCUGCCCUGCACUUCGGGAUAAGCCUGGGAAACUGGGUCUAAUACCGGAUAGGAGCCCUUUUUAGUGUGAUGGUUGGAAAGUUUUUUCGGUGUAGGAUGAGCUCGCGGCCUAUCAGCUUGUUGGUGGGGUAAUGGCCUACCAAGGCGGCGACGGGUAGCCGGCCUGAGAGGGUGGACGGCCACAUUGGGACUGAGAUACGGCCCAGACUCCUACGGGAGGCAGCAGGGGGGAAUAUUGCACAAUGGGCGCAAGCCUGAUGCAGCGACGCCGCGUGGGGGAUGACGGCCUUCGGGUUGUAAACUCCUUUCGCUAGGGACGAAGCUUUUUGUGACGGUACCUAGAUAAGAAGCACCGGCUAACUACGUG